GUGCCAGCAGCCGCGGUAAUACAGAGGUGGCAAGCGUUGCUCGGUAUCACUGGGCUUAAAGGGCGCGUAGGCGGUGCGGUGCGGUUCCGGUGAAAUCCCUCGGCCUAACCGAGGAACAGCCGGUGCUACGGCCGCGCUAGACGGCAUCAGGGGACAGUGGAACUCCCGGUGGAGCGGUGAAAUGCGUAGAUAUCGGGAGGAACGCCGGUGGCGAAAGCGACUGUCUGGGGUGCCUGUGACGCUGAGGCGCGAAAGCUAGGGGAUCAAACGGGAUUAGAAACCCUCGUAGUCC
RNAcentral lists this ribosomal RNA (292 nucleotides) under uncultured bacterium. Its description in RNAcentral is "partial 16S ribosomal RNA". It matches the Rfam family "Bacterial small subunit ribosomal RNA", at positions 505 to 796 of the family's 1533-position model. The record is from RNAcentral.